UUAUGGACAAUGAGGGAAACCCUGAUCCAGCCACACCGCGUGUAUGAUGAAGGCCUUCGGGUGGUAAAGUACUUUUGGCAGAGAAGAAAAGGUAUCUCCUAAUACGAGAUACUGCUGACGGUAUCUGCAGAAUCACCACAGGCUAACUACGUGCCCGCAGCCGCGGUAAUACGUAGGGUGCAAGCGUUAAUCGGAAUUACUAGGCGUAAAGGGUUUGUAGGCGGUUCGGAAAGAAAGAUUGGAAAACCCAGGGCUCAACCUUGGAACAGCAUUUUUAACUGCCGAGCUAGAGUAUGUCAGAGGGGGGUAGAAUUCCACGUGUAGCAGUGACAUGCGUAGAUAUGUGGAGGAAUACAGAUGGCGAAGGCAGCCCCCUGGGAUAAUACUGACGCUCAGACACGAAAGCGUGGGGAGCAAACA
This 420-nucleotide ribosomal RNA is filed under the name uncultured bacterium. Its description in RNAcentral is "partial 16S ribosomal RNA". It matches the Rfam family "Bacterial small subunit ribosomal RNA", at positions 362 to 774 of the family's 1533-position model. The record is from RNAcentral.